ACAAAAUCAGGAGUAUAUUUACGUAAAAAAUCAUUGACCCAUGAUAUAUCUUUAAGAUGAUUUUGACGAUGUUUUGAAUUUAGUUUUCUCAUAUUUUGCCAAACAGUGGAAAUUGGUGUUAAUCUAUUAAAUUUGGAACAAAAUUCCUGCCACCCCUGUUGUCUUACUUGCUUAAUUACUAACUUUUUAACAGCUUGAACUCUUUUAAAACUUAUGUAAUUAUCGAGAGUUGGAUUUUGUUUAAACCUAAGGUAAGCCGCUUUACUAUCAUUGACAGCUGUCGCACACCUGUUAUUCCACCAAGGUACUGCAAUAUGUUUGUGCCUCUUUGAAGUAUUUGCACCGCUAUUUGAUAAGUUCCUAUGUGGAACGGAACGUUCCACAGCUGUCAAAAUAAUUUUACAGAAUCUAUUGUAAUUGUUUAAGGGUUCAUUGACAUCAUACUCGAAAUCCAAAAGUAAUCGAUUAACAGUUUCAGAAUAAAGAUCCCAAUUAACGAGACAUGCUGCAACGCUCAGAAUUCUUACAGAAUUUAGCUAAAUGUCCAUACCUCAAGCACCGGUAGCAUUGUUUAACUGGUGGUAUAUAUGGAGUGACAUUGUGGCGCCAACCUCCAAUAUCCAGAUAUUCAGGUAAUACAGAUGCAGCAAAAGUAAUUGUCACGGUUAGAGUUGGCUGUAACACAUAUCCAUGAGUCAAGAUUCUGAGUCAGUAGAAGUAUCUUCCGAAUAUAUAUCCUUGUCAUUACAAGGUUCAUGGUCUACAUCACCUGAAUCGUCAUCUUUUUUUUUCCUUUUUCUACAACUGCGCUUCCCCAUGAAUGCUAAUUAUAUUACUGUCGCUGAAUUUAGUGAAAAUAUAAUAUUUUAUUCAAUAAUAAGAAUUGAUAGAGAUAGUUUUAUUAAAUUAAUAAAAAAAAUUUAAAAAACCCGCUUGUUCUUAUUCGAGUUUCCCGCCUUUUCUCCUUUUUUAUUGUAUCAUCUCAAUGAGAUCAGUUGUCAUUCCUGCCUUUUAAUUUCCACCUGUCAUCCCUCACUAGUGCCGCGUCAUUGCAUAUCGUAAUCGUGGGCGGGGUUGCCAUUCCAUUAUGAUCCAUUAAAAAAAUAUAUUGUUAGGUAUUCCUAUUUUUUUAAUAAUUAAAGAAAUAAAAUAUAAUAUUAUU
Galleria mellonella (greater wax moth) is the source of this 1162-nucleotide long non-coding RNA. RefSeq lists it as uncharacterized. NCBI's taxonomy places the organism in Eukaryota, Metazoa, Arthropoda, Insecta, Lepidoptera, Pyralidae. The transcript has 3 exons. The record is from RefSeq and is a predicted model, not a curated record.